Molecule: ribosomal RNA, 254 nt
Filed under: uncultured bacterium
Lineage: Bacteria
Description: partial 16S ribosomal RNA
Rfam family: Bacterial small subunit ribosomal RNA
Source: RNAcentral
UACGGGGGGAGCAAGCGUUGUUCGGAUUUACUGGGCGUAAAGGGCGCGUAGGCGGCCAGCACAAGUCAGUUGUGAAAUCUCCGAGCUUAACUCGGAAAGGUCAACUGAUACUGUGCGGCUAGAGUGCGGAAGGGGCAACUGGAAUUCUUGGUGUAGCGGUGAAAUGCGUAGAUAUCGGGAGGAACACCAAUUGCGAAGGCAGCUCGCUGGGGCGUGACUGACGCUGAGACGCGAAAGCGUGGGGAGCAAACAGG